AGCAGCCGCAGUAAUUUCAGCUCCAAUAGUGUAUAUUAAAGUUGUUGCAGUUAAAAAGCUCGUAGUUGAAUUUUGGGAUCAGUUGGUCGGUCGUGUCUUGGUACGUACUGGUCAAAUUGAUUCCUACCUUCUGACGAAUCACAAUGUCAUUAAUUUGGUGUCGCAGGAAAUCAGGACUGUUACUCUGAAAAAUUGAGUGUUUAAAGCAGGCUCGUGCUUGAAUACAUUAGCAUAGAAUAAUGAAAUAAGACGUUUGAUUCUAUUUUGUUAGUUUCUAGGAUCGAUAUAAUGAUUAAUAGGAAUAGUUGGAGGUAUUAGUAUUCAAUUGUCAGAAGUGAAAUUCUUGGAUUUAUUGAAGACUAACUACUGCGAAAGCAUUUGCCAAGAAUGUUUUCAUUAAUCAAGAACGA
This 410-nucleotide unclassified non-coding RNA is filed under the name uncultured Archaeospora. RNAcentral describes it as "bacterial SSU rRNA". It matches the Rfam family "Eukaryotic small subunit ribosomal RNA", at positions 569 to 986 of the family's 1831-position model. The record is from RNAcentral. Lineage: Eukaryota; Fungi; Glomeromycota; Glomeromycetes; Archaeosporales; Archaeosporaceae.